CUCUUCUCUCUACAUGGCGCUGAGAUAAGCUAAUCAAAAGCUAUUCCACUACCCAGCAUGCCCCUGGCUGGUGUACAGUUGCAGGGAAAGAAGAAAGAUGCAGUAUGAUCCACUUUGAGGUCGGCUUUAAGGGCUAGCGGUGUUCCAUUGCAAAGUCCUCUAUCACCACACCCGCUGCAUACAAUUCUACACUCCACUUGAGGAAAGUUCGCCCAUGGAGAAAACCACUCCAUAAAAGCAGUAUCAGAAGGCUGCUGUAGCGAAGCAUGCAACAUAGAGACCCGACCAGCUGUCUGUUAAUCUGUCAGUUGUGUGUGUAAAACACAUUAAGGAUAUUCAGAUAAUAAACCUAAAUAUAGCAGUGCAUGUAACAGUGGAGAAUAGCUGGCUCAAUAAUGUAUUUGUGGUUACGGAACCAGUGACAAACUAACUAACUUCCUGUCACAUCAGAGAAGUGAAUGGAGGUGUGGGUGAGAGAUGUAUUGUGUGUGUUGCAGCGCUGUACCGUAAGCCUCCUC
Molecule: long non-coding RNA, 518 nt
Organism: Gymnodraco acuticeps
Lineage: Eukaryota; Metazoa; Chordata; Actinopteri; Perciformes; Bathydraconidae
Exons: 3
Source: RefSeq, a predicted model, not a curated record